RNAcentral lists this ribosomal RNA (207 nucleotides) under uncultured bacterium. RNAcentral's name for it is "partial 16S ribosomal RNA". It matches the Rfam family "Bacterial small subunit ribosomal RNA", at positions 568 to 774 of the family's 1533-position model. The record is from RNAcentral.
CGUGCAGGCGGUCUAGCAAGUUGGAUGUGAAAGCUCCCGGCUUAACCGGGAGAGGUCGUUCAAUACUGUUAGACUAGAGAAUGGGAGAGGGAGGUGGAAUUCUGGGUGUAGUGGUGAAAUGCGUAGAUAUCCAGAGGAACACCAGUGGCGAAAGCGGCCUCCUGGACCAUUUCUGACGCUAAGACGCGAAAGCUAGGGUAGCAAACG